RNAcentral lists this transfer RNA (128 nucleotides) under Bacteroidota bacterium. RNAcentral's name for it is "tRNA-OTHER". RNAcentral also lists the same sequence under 1 other name. The record is from RNAcentral. Lineage: Bacteria; Pseudomonadati; Bacteroidota.
AGCUCAGUGGAUAGAGCACCAUGUGCGCUUUCGAUUUUCGCCUCGCAUGUUUUAAAAUCAUCAAGUGCCGUAGAAUAGCGUUACUUCGAUUUCGGUUCUGGCGGUCGCGGGUUCGAAUCCCGUCCUUC